RNAcentral lists this ribosomal RNA (2176 nucleotides) under Salmonella enterica. RNAcentral's name for it is "partial 23S ribosomal RNA". It matches the Rfam family "Bacterial large subunit ribosomal RNA", at positions 728 to 2803 of the family's 2925-position model. The record is from RNAcentral. Lineage: Bacteria; Pseudomonadati; Pseudomonadota; Gammaproteobacteria; Enterobacterales; Enterobacteriaceae.
AUCUAGCCAUGGGCAGGUUGAAGGUUGGGUAACACUAACUGGAGGACCGAACCGACUAAUGUUGAAAAAUUAGCGGAUGACCUGUGGCUGGGGGUGAAAGGCCAAUCAAACCGGGAGAUAGCUGGUUCUCCCCGAAAGCUAUUUAGGUAGCGCCUCGUGAAUUCAUCUCCGGGGGUAGAGCACUGUUUCGGCUAGGGGGCCAUCCCGGCUUACCAACCCGAUGCAAACUGCGAAUACCGGAGAAUGUUAUCACGGGAGACACACGGCGGGUGCUAACGUCCGUCGUGAAGAGGGAAACAACCCAGACCGCCAGCUAAGGUCCCAAAGUCAUGGUUAAGUGGGAAACGAUGUGGGAAGGCCCAGACAGCCAGGAUGUUGGCUUAGAAGCAGCCAUCAUUUAAAGAAAGCGUAAUAGCUCACUGGUCGAGUCGGCCUGCGCGGAAGAUGUAACGGGGCUAAACCAUGCACCGAAGCUGCGGCAGCGAACGUAUCACUUAAAGCGAUUCAGCGGGUUACGAUUGACGGAGCGAAGCGACGUCAAAGCGUAUACAAAGUCGAGUCGGUUUAAGGAUACGUUCGUUGGGUAGGGGAGCGUUCUGUAAGCCUGUGAAGGUGUGUCGUGAGGCAUGCUGGAGGUAUCAGAAGUGCGAAUGCUGACAUAAGUAACGAUAAAGCGGGUGAAAAGCCCGCUCGCCGGAAGACCAAGGGUUCCUGUCCAACGUUAAUCGGGGCAGGGUGAGUCGACCCCUAAGGCGAGGCCGAAAGGCGUAGUCGAUGGGAAACGGGUUAAUAUUCCCGUACUUGGUGUUACUGCGAAGGGGGGACGGAGAAGGCUAUGUUGGCCGGGCGACGGUUGUCCCGGUUUAAGCGUGUAGGUGUGUGUUCCAGGUAAAUCCGGUUCACUUUAACACUGAGGCGUGACGACGAGGCACUACGGUGCUGAAGCAACAAAUGCCCUGCUUCCAGGAAAAGCCUCUAAGCAUCAGGUAACAUCAAAUCGUACCCCAAACCGACACAGGUGGUCAGGUAGAGAAUACCAAGGCGCUUGAGAGAACUCGGGUGAAGGAACUAGGCAAAAUGGUGCCGUAACUUCGGGAGAAGGCACGCUGACACGUAGGUGAAGUGAUUUACUCAUGGAGCUGAAGUCAGUCGAAGAUACCAGCUGGCUGCAACUGUUUAUUAAAAACACAGCACUGUGCAAACACGAAAGUGGACGUAUACGGUGUGACGCCUGCCCGGUGCCGGAAGGUUAAUUGAUGGGGUCAGCGCAAGCGAAGCUCCUGAUCGAAGCCCCGGUAAACGGCGGCCGUAACUAUAACGGUCCUAAGGUAGCGAAAUUCCUUGUCGGGUAAGUUCCGACCUGCACGAAUGGCGUAAUGAUGGCCAGGCUGUCUCCACCCGAGACUCAGUGAAAUUGAACUCGCUGUGAAGAUGCAGUGUACCCGCGGCAAGACGGAAAGACCCCGUGAACCUUUACUAUAGCUUGACACUGAACAUUGAGCCUUGAUGUGUAGGAUAGGUGGGAGGCUUUGAAGUGUGGACGCCAGUCUGCAUGGAGCCGACCUUGAAAUACCACCCUUUAAUGUUUGAUGUUCUAACGUGGACCCGUGAUCCGGGUUGCGGACAGUGUCUGGUGGGUAGUUUGACUGGGGCGGUCUCCUCCUAAAGAGUAACGGAGGAGCACGAAGGUUGGCUAAUCCUGGUCGGACAUCAGGAGGUUAGUGCAAUGGCAUAAGCCAGCUUGACUGCGAGCGUGACGGCGCGAGCAGGUGCGAAAGCAGGUCAUAGUGAUCCGGUGGUUCUGAAUGGAAGGGCCAUCGCUCAACGGAUAAAAGGUACUCCGGGGAUAACAGGCUGAUACCGCCCAAGAGUUCAUAUCGACGGCGGUGUUUGGCACCUCGAUGUCGGCUCAUCACAUCCUGGGGCUGAAGUAGGUCCCAAGGGUAUGGCUGUUCGCCAUUUAAAGUGGUACGCGAGCUGGGUUUAGAACGUCGUGAGACAGUUCGGUCCCUAUCUGCCGUGGGCGCUGGAGAACUGAGGGGGGCUGCUCCUAGUACGAGAGGACCGGAGUGGACGCAUCACUGGUGUUCGGGUUGUCAUGCCAAUGGCACUGCCCGGUAGCUAAAUGCGGAAGAGAUAAGUGCUGAAAGCAUCUAAGCACGAAACUUGCCCCGAG